Molecule: long non-coding RNA, 573 nt
Organism: Alosa sapidissima (American shad)
Lineage: Eukaryota; Metazoa; Chordata; Actinopteri; Clupeiformes; Clupeidae
Exons: 3
Source: RefSeq, a predicted model, not a curated record
GACUGUAAGUAGGUGAUGAAGGGUGACCAAGGUGAGGGUGUAUCUUGAGUAUUGAUUACGUUUGGAGUUGAUAGAUUGUCUAUUGAUAUAUAAUCUGUUUUCCAAUGAGUGAUAUGUACAUUGUUCCUUGAUUUCCAGUUAAUUGUUUUCUUGGCAAUAGUCAGUGCUACUAGCAGUAUUUUAUUGCAUGAGGUGCUUAAAUUGAUUGUGGUUGUAUGCAUAGGGAAGGGGUAGCUUGGAUGUGACAGCCAAAGAUAGAAGAGAAUGAUUCUGUGACGCUUACCCAAAAUCGGCUGACUGCAUGCAUUGCCAGACAGCAUGAAUGUAUGUGUCUGGGUUAUUUUGCAUGCAGUGAGAACAUAAAUCAGAACCAAACCCCAUUUUAGACAAUUUCUGUGCAGUGAAGUGAGAUCUGUGAAGCACUUUGAAUAGUAUUAGUUGUAGAUCACUAUUUGUUGUCAUGAUGUAGACGUUUUUACAGAUUUGGGUCCAGAAGUCGGCACCGGGAGUUAUGGACAAGUCUGAUUACUAUUUGUGAUAUGGCAGGCUUAAUUGUGUUUUUCUGAAAGAGAU